GAUGAACGCUGGCGGCGUGCCUAAUACAUGCAAGUCGAGCGAACGGACGAGAAGCUUUCUUCUCUGAUGUUAGCGGCGGACGGGUGAGUAACACGUGGAUAACCUACCUAUAAGACUGGGAUAACUUCGGGAAACCGGAGCUAAUACCGGAUAAUAUUUUGAACCGCAUGGUUCAAAAGUGAAAGACGGUCUUGCUGUCACUUAUAGAUGGAUUCGCGCUGCAUUAGCUAGUUGGUAAGGUAACGGCUUACCAAGGCAACGAUGCAUAGCCGACCUGAGAGGGUGAUCGGCCACACUGGAACUGAGACACGGUCCAGACUCCUACGGGAGGCAGCAGUAGGGAAUCUUCCGCAAUGGGCGAAAGCCUGACGGAGCAAUGCCGCGUGAGUGAUGAAGGUCUUCGGAUCGUAAAACUCUGUUAUUAGGGAAGAACAUAUGUGUAAGUAACUGUGCACAUCUUGACGGUACCUAAUCAGAAAGCCACGGCUAACUACGUG
RNAcentral lists this ribosomal RNA (497 nucleotides) under uncultured bacterium. Its description in RNAcentral is "partial 16S ribosomal RNA". It matches the Rfam family "Bacterial small subunit ribosomal RNA", at positions 28 to 507 of the family's 1533-position model. The record is from RNAcentral.